Molecule: non-coding RNA, 657 nt
Organism: Cinara cedri
Lineage: Eukaryota; Metazoa; Arthropoda; Insecta; Hemiptera; Aphididae
Source: the annotation of a GenBank genome assembly
CUUUUUUACCAAACGCUGGUUUCAAGACGAUAUAACUUUAUACGCGUGGUAACAGUCGCUAAACUAUACGUGGUAUAUGAUGUUUAUAAUCGCCAAUGCUCAUCACAUGUACGUAGACAUAGGUACUCGAACGACAUAAUAACAUUAUUGAAAUCGUUAAAUCCAACUAACGAUAAACACACAGCGUGUUACACGAGUAUUCACGCACGGAUCGAACCACCGACGAGUAGGAUGGUCGGUGAAUCUCUGACACGUGUUAGUGUAAAAACGAUUAUAUAGUGAAGUUUGCAGCGAAUACAAAUAUCGAGGGCGAAAAAAAAAUAGUUACAUUCCUCGUUGCGCGUACCGAGAGAUGUGUUUUAUUGUUGUUAUUAUUAUUAUUAUUAUUUUUUUUUUCACGUGUUGUCCCGGAGGAAUGGCGAUUGUAAAUGACCCGACGGUGUUUUGCGGAAAACGAUUUAAUGUAAUUUUUUAAUACACAAAAGAAAUAAAAAAAAACAAAGGCGCGAUGAAAACAAUAUCAAAAAUGACUGGCGAUAGUGGCAGAUCUGAAACUGAUUCAAGUAGCGGGUUGCGGGGAGGAGUGGACUGGUAUCAUAGAUACUGAAUUUCACGAGAAGGGUCCGAAAUUUGUUCAUUACGGGGAUAUUCUAAUGG